GGGGCAGACCGCCUUAUCGCUCUAUGUUAUAGAGAGGAAAGUCCGGACACCACAGAGUAGCAUAGCGGGUAACGCCCGUCAUUCCGAUACAUCGGAAGAGGACAAGUGCAACAGAAAGAAUGUACAGGUAAGGCUGUAGUGAAACCAGGUAAACUCUAUGCGGUGAAAUGCCAUGUAUACCAGCAGGUAAGAGCUACUCGUUCGUUGCUGAGGGGUAGGCAGCUAGAUCUCGAUAGUAAUAUCGCGACCAGAUAAAUGAUAAGGGUCUCGUUCACAAAACGGGAUACAGAAUCCGGCUUACAGGUCUGCUUUUUUU
Molecule: RNase P RNA, 316 nt
Filed under: Flavobacterium nakdongense
Lineage: Bacteria; Pseudomonadati; Bacteroidota; Flavobacteriia; Flavobacteriales; Flavobacteriaceae
Description: Flavobacterium sp. 20NA77.7 RNase P RNA component class A
Rfam family: Bacterial RNase P class A
About the family: Ribonuclease P (RNase P) is a ubiquitous endoribonuclease, found in archaea, bacteria and eukarya as well as chloroplasts and mitochondria.
Source: RNAcentral